GGUGAGGUGCCUUCCGAGUUCCCUGGAACGGGACGCCAUAGAGGGUGAGAGCCCCGUCUGGUUGGACGCCGAUCCUCUGUAAAGCUCCUUCGACGAGUCGAGUAGUUUGGGAAUGCUGCUCUAAAUGGGAGGUAUAUGUCUUCUAAAGCUAAAUACCGGCCAGAGACCGAUAGCGCACAAGUAGAGUGAUCGAAAGAUGAAAAGAACUUUGAAAAGAGAGUUAAAAAGUACGUGAAAUUGUUGAAAGGGAAGCGCUUGUGACCAGACUUGGGCUUGGUUGAUCAUCCGGGGUUCUCCCCGGUGCACUCUUCCGGCUCAGGCCAGCAUCAGUUCGCCUCGGGGGAUAAAGGCUUCGGGAAUGUGGCUCUCUCCGGG
RNAcentral lists this ribosomal RNA (375 nucleotides) under Fusarium sp. FSSC_12f. RNAcentral's name for it is "eukaryotic LSU rRNA". It matches the Rfam family "Eukaryotic large subunit ribosomal RNA", at positions 167 to 550 of the family's 3401-position model. Lineage: Eukaryota; Fungi; Ascomycota; Sordariomycetes; Hypocreales; Nectriaceae. The record is from RNAcentral.